UGGUAUAAAAUAUAUUUCCUAGAGUCUACAGCAGAACAUGUACAGGAGCAAUAUAACACUACACGGAGGUCUGAGCGAGUUAGGGUUUGGGAUAUAUAUCAAAAGUCGUAUCAAAGUGUCUUGCUUUAGCCUAACACGACACAGAGAAUACAAUACACACACAGAAACCAAAGAAGCAGAAAAUGUAAAGAUAAUUGAUUUUUUCUCAGCUGCACAAAUACAUUAAAUUUACGAAGCGAUUAGCGGGCUUUUUUUUAUUUAAUUUUUUUUUUUUACACCUUUUCUGUUGCCCUUGAUCAGCUGUUUCUCUAGCUGUAAAAAAAAAAGUUAUGAUUAUUUACUAGACUUCUCAUUAUACAAACACAAAAUUGAAUAAGAAAAAGGAAAUGAAAAAUAAUAUACAGUAAAUUUCUUGAGCUGCACAAACACACAAGUUAACCAGGCAUUUCUAUACAAGUUAUCAUUAUUAUUUGUUAGUCUUUCCAUUAUACAAACACAAAAUUGAAUAAGAAAAAGGAAAUGAAAAAUAAUAUACAGUAAAUUUCUUCUGAGCUGCAGAAUUACAUAAGUUUACCAAGCAUUUCUAUACAAGUUAUCAUUAUUAUUAUUCAUUAGUCUUUCCAUUAUACAAACACAAAAUUGAAUAAGAAAAAGCAAAUAUAAAAAAUAAUAUACAGUAAAUUUCUUCUUAGCUGCAGAAAUACAUAAGUUUACCAAGCAUUUCUAUACAAGUUAUCAUUAUCAUUUAUAGUCUUUCCAUUAGACAAACACAAAAUCGAAUAAGAAAAAGCAAAUAUAAAACAUAAUAUAGUAAAAUUUCUUCUUUGCUGCAGAAAUAUACAUGCAGUUCACCAAGCAUUUCUAUACAAGUUAUUAUUAUUAUUAUUAUUAUUAUUAUUAUUAUUAUUAUUCAUUAGUCUUUCCAUUAUACAAACAAAAUUGAAUAAGAAAAAGCAAAUAUAAAACAUAAUAUAUAGUAAAUUUCUUCUUAGCUGCAGAAAUAUACAUGCAGUUCACCAAGCAUUUCUAUACAAGUUAUUAUUAUUAUUAUUAUUCAUUAGUCUUCUCAUUAGACAAACACAAAAUUGAAUAAGACAAAGCAAAUGAAAAAUAAUACAUCAAGCAUUUCUAUACAAGUUAUCAUUAUCAUUAUCUUCUAGUCUUCUCAUUAUGCCAACAUUUAAACCAAGCAAAAAAUUAUAUAAUACAAAUUUCUUCGUAGCCACACAAAUACAGUUUUUAUCAAGCAAUGGUUCUAAUGUUCUUUCAUCACUUGAGUUAUAUAUAUGGAGGCUCGACUCGUUAUAUGGUAUCAUUAGUUCUUUAAAUGUAUGAUACAGUAUUGCACUACACUUUGACAUAAUGUAUAGUUGGAGGAUAGGAGAGUGGCCGAGGGAGGGACAGUCAUGGUGGGGAGCAAUGUCACUUGGGUCAGAAAUUACAAGCAGGAGAGGAGGAGGAGGAGGAGGAGGAGGAGUUGUUUAGGAAAGAUAAAUUAAGUUCAUGAAAAGUUUAGCUCAGAAAGAUGAAGGAAAGUCAUGUAGGAAGGAUAGGUCAGGUCACACAGUUCAUGGAAAGUUUAGCUCAGAAAGGUGAAGGAAAGUCAUGUAGGAAGGAUAGGUCAGGUCACACAGUUCAUGGAAAGUUUAGCUCAGAAAGAUGAAGGAAUGUCAUGUAGGAAGGAUAGGUCAGGUCACACAGUUCACGGAAAGUUUAGCUCAGAAAGAUGAAGGAAUGUCAUGUAGGAAGGAUAGGUCAGGUCACUCAGUUCAUGGAAAGUUUAGCUCUGAAAGAUGAAGGAAUGUCAUGUAGGAAGGAUAGGUCAGGUCACACAGUUCAUGGAAAGUUUAGCUCAGAAAGAUGAAGGAAUGUCAUGUAGGAAGGAUAGGUCAGGUCACUCAGUUCACGGAAAGUUUAGCACAGAAAGAUGAAGGAAUGUCAUGUAGGAAGGAUAGGUCAGGUCACACAGUUCAUGGAAAGUUUAGCUCAGAAAGAUGAAGGAAUGUCAUGUAGGAAGGAUAGGUCAGGUCACUCAGUUCAUGGAAAGUUUAGCUCAGAAAGGUGAAGGAAUGUCAUGUAGGAAGGAUAGGUCAGGUCACACAGUUCAUGGAAAGUUUAGCUCAGAAAGAUGAAGGAAUGUCAUGUAGGAAGGAUAG
Molecule: long non-coding RNA, 2156 nt
Organism: Eriocheir sinensis (Chinese mitten crab)
Lineage: Eukaryota; Metazoa; Arthropoda; Malacostraca; Decapoda; Varunidae
Exons: 3
Source: RefSeq, a predicted model, not a curated record